Molecule: ribosomal RNA, 1164 nt
Filed under: Neocalanus tonsus
Lineage: Eukaryota; Metazoa; Arthropoda; Copepoda; Calanoida; Calanidae
Description: partial large subunit ribosomal RNA
Source: RNAcentral
AAAUAUAAUGGGUCGAACAGACCGUCUCGUAUAAGCUUCUGCACAUAUACAAGUAUUUAAUUCAACAUCGAGGUCACAAACAUCUAUUCUGAUAAGAACUCUUAUAGAUAUAAUGCUGUUAUCCCUAGAGGAGCUAUUUUAUAAUUCCCAAAGGCUCAUUUAUAAUAUAUUUAUCUAAAUAAAAUUAUUAAUUUUUACCCCAAAAAAUAGAUUUUUAUUAUUAAUAAUAAAAUUUUAAAUCAACCAGCUUCAUAGGGUCUUCUCGUCUAAAAAAAUCUUCUAAGUAUUUUCACUUAAAUUAAAAUUUCAUAAAAAAAACUAAAAAAUUAAUUUUAGUAAAACCAUUCAUUCUAUUUUUCAAUUAAAAAACUAAUUAUUAUGCUACCUUAGCACUAACGCGGCUAUUUAAAUAUUUCAUUGAGCAGGUAUUAUAAAUCAUUUUUACGAUGUUUUUGAUAAACAGGCUAAAUUUUAUAUGUAGAGUAAUUUUUUUUAUACUGUGUUUUUAAACCUAAUAUUAUAAAAUUAUUUAUAUAUUUUACAAAUUAACUACUCAUAUAAAUAUUAUCUAUAAAACCAGUUUAUUACUUUUUAUAAAAUCUUUAAUUUGCACCCAUUAAAACUAUAAGAUUAACGAAUUUUAAUAUAUUCAUAUUAACAUUAAUAUUUUUACAUAAAACACUUUAUUUUGUUUUUUGCUAAUAUCUAAAGACUUAUCUCUAAAGAUUUUAAAUUUUUCUUUAACUAAGAUUUAAUCUAAUAAGAUUUAACAAGAAUUUAUCUAAUUUUAACAUAUCAUUCCAAAAAUUAUAUUUAUUAAAAUGUUACCACAUUUUAAACUUUAUAUUUUUUAUUCUAGAUUAUUCGUGAUUUUUAUUAUUAGUAUAUUUCAUUUAUACAUGAUGCAAAAGGUAUAAUUUCCCAAUUUAAAAAAUUUAAUUAUUUUUUAAUAAAAAAUUAAUAAUAAUAUAAUAAAAUUAAUUUAAAUAAAAAAUAAUUUUUACUUAGACUUUAUGUCUAUCCAUUUAUAUGUGUAUUUUUAUACCUCAGUCCUAGGACAUAAUUAAUUUACAAAAUUAAUAUUUUAAAUUAAAUUAUAAAGUAAAAUCAUCAGAUAUUUAUUUCUUAUAAAUGUUUUCAAAACAUUCUUUUAAAAUGAUUUUU